RNAcentral lists this long non-coding RNA (249 nucleotides) under Ricinus communis (castor bean). Its description in RNAcentral is "long non-coding RNA (RCOM_LNC002581)". Lineage: Eukaryota; Viridiplantae; Streptophyta; Magnoliopsida; Malpighiales; Euphorbiaceae. The record is from RNAcentral.
GACUCCAUAUCUCUCUUUCUCUCUCUAGAUUAUCUCUUCAGCUCCAUGGUUCAAAUCCAUCGCUCUGCAUUUUUGUGGGAAAGAAAAGCGCAACGCUUUAUCAGAUUAACAAAAAAGGCAGUCCAGUCUUUAUAGUGAGGUUCUUAGUCCCUCUUGUCUGCUUAGUUGUUUCCUUUUAUAACAAGUUUUAUGCAUCUUUUAUAUUUUAAUGUUCUAGCGAUUUUGUUGUUUAAUUGUGCUUAGCCCCUU